This 460-nucleotide ribosomal RNA is filed under the name uncultured bacterium. Its description in RNAcentral is "partial 16S ribosomal RNA". It matches the Rfam family "Bacterial small subunit ribosomal RNA", at positions 338 to 795 of the family's 1533-position model. The record is from RNAcentral.
CCUACGGGCGGCAGCAGUGAGGAAUAUUGGUCACUGGUCGGGAGCCUGAACCAGCCAAGUAGCGUGAAGGAUGACUGCCCUAUGGGUUGUAAACUUCUUUUAUAUGGGAAUAAAAUGUUCCACGUGUGGGAUUUUGUAUGUACCAUAUGAAUAAGGAUCGACUAACUCCGUGCCAGCAGCCGCGGUAAUACGGAGGAUCCGAGCGUUAUCCGGAUUUAUUGGGUUUAAAGGGCGCGUAGGUGGAUUGUUAAGUCAGUUGUGAAAGUUUGCGGCUCAACCGUAAAAUUGCAGUUGAAACUGGCAGACUUGAGUACAGUAGAGGUGGGCGGAAUUCGUGGUGUAGCGGUGAAAUGCUUAGAUAUCACGAAGAACUCCGAUUGCGAAGGCAGCUUACUGGACUGCAACUGACACUGAGGCUCGAAAGUGUGGGUAUCAAACAGGAUUAGAUACCCCAGUAGUC